RNAcentral lists this transfer RNA (77 nucleotides) under Candidatus Acetothermia bacterium. RNAcentral's name for it is "tRNA-Met". It matches the Rfam family "tRNA". From Rfam's summary of the family: Transfer RNA (tRNA) molecules are approximately 80 nucleotides in length. Their secondary structure includes four short double-helical elements and three loops (D, anti-codon, and T loops). The record is from RNAcentral. RNAcentral also lists the same sequence under 2 other names. Lineage: Bacteria; Candidatus Bipolaricaulota.
GGCGGAGUAGCUCAACCGGUGAGAGCGCGCGGCCCAUAACCGCGAGGUUCAGGGUUCGACUCCCUGCUCCGCCACCA